Molecule: ribosomal RNA, 506 nt
Filed under: uncultured bacterium
Lineage: Bacteria
Description: partial 16S ribosomal RNA
Rfam family: Bacterial small subunit ribosomal RNA
Source: RNAcentral
AUUGAACGCUGGCGGCAGGCCUAACACAUGCAAGUCGAACGGUAACAGGAAACAGUUUGCUGUUUCGCUGACGAGUGGCGGACGGGUGAGUAAUGUCUGGGAAACUGCCCGAUGGAGAGGGAUAACUACUGGAAACGGUAGCUAAUACCGCAUAACGUCGCAAGACCAAAGAGGGGGACCUUCGGGCCUCUUGCCAUCGGAUGUGCCCAGAUGGGAUUAGCUAGUAGGGGGGGUAACGGCUCACCUAGGCGACGAUCCCUAGCUGGUCUGAGAGGAUGACCAGCCACACUGGAACUGAGACACGGUCCAGACUCCUACGGGAGGCAGCAGUGGGGAAUAUUGCACAAUGGGCGCAAGCCUGAUGCAGCCAUGCCGCGUGUAUGAAGAAGGCCUUCGGGUUGUAAAGUACUUUCAGCGGGGAGGAAGGGAGUAAAGUUAAUACCUUUGCUCAUUGACGUUACCCGCAGAAGAAGCACCGGCUAACUCCGUGCCAGCAGCCGCCGUAA